AUGAUUGAUAGAGGUUGCAAUCGACAUGAGUAACUUUGUUGAGCCGGCACGGGCGACGACGCAAAGCGAAAGGGGACAUUGCCGAAACGAUUCAGCGCAACUGAGUCGUUGGGCCUUUGGUUAAGAGCCAUCGGACUGUCGCUGUGAAAACAGCGGGGAGCUAUCGUCACA
Weissella cibaria is the source of this 171-nucleotide non-coding RNA. The record is from Rfam. Lineage: Bacteria; Bacillati; Bacillota; Bacilli; Lactobacillales; Lactobacillaceae.